Molecule: ribosomal RNA, 254 nt
Filed under: uncultured bacterium
Lineage: Bacteria
Description: partial 16S ribosomal RNA
Rfam family: Bacterial small subunit ribosomal RNA
Source: RNAcentral
GACGAACCGUGCGAACGUUAUUCGGAAUCACUGGGCUUAAAGCGCGUGUAGGCGGAGAGGCACGUCGGCCGUUGAAAGCCCCCGGCUCAACCGGGGAACGGGCGCCGAUACGACCUUUCUCGAGGGGCGUAGGGGGGGCUGGAACUUCCGGUGGAGCGGUGAAAUGCGUUGAGAUCGGAAGGAACGCCCGUGGCGAAAGCGAGCCCCUGGACGUCAUCUGACGCUGAGACGCGAAAGCCAGGGGAGCGAACGGG